RNAcentral lists this long non-coding RNA (911 nucleotides) under Polistes fuscatus (common paper wasp). Its description in RNAcentral is "uncharacterized LOC122517216". Lineage: Eukaryota; Metazoa; Arthropoda; Insecta; Hymenoptera; Vespidae. The record is from RNAcentral.
ACACCUUUUAUUUUCUACACACAACUCGAUCGUAGCAAAUGGCUGCCCCCCCCGGGAAAGAGAAAAGAUGCGUGUUGUUUAGCUCAGUGUCGCGAUCACGACCUGUGAAUUUCUUCUAAUCGUCCUGCGAUCCUCUUCUUCGUUUCAUCGAGUCCCCUUAGAAAGUUCGUGAUGAUUCGAAAGGCUAGGAAAGAAGGAAAUAUGAGAAUCCAAGAGAGCACAGAGUGCUGCUCUCCGUGCGUGAACGAGGAUGACCGGUGAACAACAACGUCAAAAUGUUCGACUUCAUUUCCAUUCUGGGCAUCUUAAAAGUAAGGCUGAACUAAUAACGAGCUCCUUGUUAUACUAUUUUACGACAAAGCUCUCAACGUACGUUUGGCGUAUUAUUCGAAAACGAUCGUUAGCUCGUAAAUCAUUCUUUUGAAAAUGUUCUCAUACAAUUACGGGUCAGUUUGUACGAAAUAAUAUUCGAAAUCAAGCGAGAAAUACUAUUAUACGGUUAUCGGUUUCCCCUUGUCCCUUCGUUCCUGCCGUUCGUUGUCAUCGUUCUUCCAAGAGGAGAGUCUAAAGGUACAAGGACCUCUCCCUCUCCCUCUCUUGUUAUCAAAGAAGCGAGUUUGAAUUUUGUUCAGGUCCGUUUCGAAUUAACAUUACCCAAUAAACGUGAUCUCAAGUAAAAAUUCUAACGUACCCGUUUCUAAGAGCUUUUUUUUUUUACUUUUUACGUAUACUAAAUUCUAAUAAGAUGAAAAAAUAUCUUCACGUUCGAUGGCACGACGAACGAACGAACGAACGAACGAUCAUGCGGAAGACGGGCCCAACGUAGCCCGGAAGCGUGUAAAUCGACCUUUAAGGUUCGUCGAUCGGUAAGGCGGACAACACUCGUCGAGUACAGAAGAGUGAGAGAAAAA